Molecule: long non-coding RNA, 954 nt
Organism: Mustela erminea (ermine)
Lineage: Eukaryota; Metazoa; Chordata; Mammalia; Carnivora; Mustelidae
Exons: 4
Source: RefSeq, a predicted model, not a curated record
CCUCCAAUGGGCGCGCGGUCAGCAUUCCUACAACGCAUCUCCAGUGUAUUCGCGACACCAUUCUCCAAAACGACUCCUCACGUCACCCCCCACUCUGCCUCUCCAUCAACUUGCGACUUCACCACUUGCGUGACUCAGAAAACUGAAUCAAGCAGCAGCUAUAGGCCUACAAGUCAGCCCUUUGAAGUCGGGCCUAAUUAAGAAGGUUGAGAUGAGACAUAACCGAGAUAUGUGUGUCUAAGCUUAGGCUUACUCUGGUUUGUAACAAGACACAAUGGUAGACUGGUGUCACAUCCCCUUUUGCAGACAGAGCAAUGGAUCCCUCUUUUCAUCCAGACUAGCAUCCGAUGAAUUUCUCAUUUGGGCUUGCCCUCCUUCAAAGAGCUGAGGGAAAUAAAUCUACAACAGCCAACUGCAUGCUAAAAUUAUAGCUCCUGAUUCCUGCUUGUCUCUCCUCGCAUUCCCCAAAGCAAGUUCCUUAAAUCACUGGGAGAACCAGGUCAAGUCUGCUCUCUGAGAAGGCAUGAUGUCACCUUGCAUAACCAAAGUCCUCAGGAAGAUCAUGGCACGUGGACUAAUGUGUGUUAUGGAGAAAGAACUUAAGAAAAUGACUCUAUUUUCCCACCAUGAAAUAAAGACAAACUCAGUCUACAGGUGUUCAGGUUCUUGGCCAUCUCAGGGAGAGAUGCAAUCUCCAGGAAGGAUUUUACACCAGAAACUCCCUUUUUCCUUUCUGUCAUUUUAUGGUUUAAUGAUAUUUCUUAUGUUACAAAACAUUCUCCAUCAUACAUAUGUUAUUGUUUUAUACAGUUUUAAACCUUAAAUACACAGCAAAAUAUUCUAAAGCUUACAUUUACUGUCUAAAAUGUUUCACAAACUGACAACAAAUUGUGCUUCUUUUGGUUGUUAACUUCUUUAGAUUGUUAACAAUGAGAACUAAAAAUAUAACUCAAA